Molecule: unclassified non-coding RNA, 325 nt
Organism: Erinaceus europaeus (western European hedgehog)
Lineage: Eukaryota; Metazoa; Chordata; Mammalia; Eulipotyphla; Erinaceidae
Gene: 7SK
Rfam family: 7SK RNA
About the family: 7SK was discovered as an abundant small nuclear RNA in the mid-70s but a possible function has only recently been suggested. Two independent studies have found that 7SK RNA binds the CDK9/cyclin T complex (known as elongation factor P-TEFb).
Source: Ensembl
GGAUGUGAGGGUAAUCUGACUGCAACAUCUGUCACCCCACUGACCACCAGGGUUGAUUCGGCUGGUCUGGCUGGCUAGGCGGGUGUCCCCUUCUUCCUUCACCACUCCAUGUGCGUCCCUCCUGAAGCUGUGUGUUCAGUUGAAGAUGAUGGCCUUCCCCAAUAGAGAUGGACCAGUCUUCAGUUGAGGGUAUCAUGAGUAACUGCGCUCCCUGCUAGAACCUCCAAACAAGCUCUCAAGAUUAGCAGCAGAUUUCUCCACACAAACACUAAGGGCCAGAAGAGAAUGGCAAGAUAUAUAUUGAGCUCUCCAUGAAAAAGGCUUU